Molecule: long non-coding RNA, 212 nt
Filed under: Coturnix japonica (Japanese quail)
Lineage: Eukaryota; Metazoa; Chordata; Aves; Galliformes; Phasianidae
Description: lncRNA (ENSCJPG00005010804.1)
Source: RNAcentral
CACAAUUUCAAGUAAACUUUACUGUUUCAGGAAUACAGAUACAACUGACUUAUGGCUGUUAGUUUUGUUGUUUAUUUGUUUGCUGUUUCUCCCCCCCCCCCCAAAUGCAACAGAAGCAACAGGUCACAAUGAGGCAUUCCAGUGGGUCAGUUUGGCUGAGUGCAAGGACUCUUCAAGCAGAAUAUACAGAAAUUAAAGCUUGCUUGAACUGA